Cryptomeria japonica (Japanese cedar) is the source of this 1228-nucleotide long non-coding RNA. RefSeq lists it as uncharacterized. Lineage: Eukaryota; Viridiplantae; Streptophyta; Pinopsida; Cupressales; Cupressaceae. The transcript is spliced from 5 exons. The record is from RefSeq and is a predicted model, not a curated record.
AAAACCCCACGAUGGGGGAAAACAUGUGUCGCGGAAAACAAAGUUUAAACUCCAAAGACAUUGCCAUUCUCAAUGAGACCAAAUAAAUAACCAAAAAUUUCAAAAUUGCAGAAAGAACCAAUCUAAAAACCUGCUCUUUGAAACCAUGAGCGACGUACAAGAAACCAUGGCGCAAAGAACCUGUCGCACAAAACUUUGGUGUUAACCAUUCGUGUUUACUGACUGACAGUCAGCUGCUAUGUCUAUGCUUCCACAUUUUGCAUACAUGUCCACUAGGGCAGUUGCAGCUAUACCAUUUUACAUAAUUCCUUUCCUUCACCUUGUGGUGGAUGUCCAUACCCCGUUCCAAAGCUUCCAUUUAAGCACGGGCAGGGAGGAUGCUGGCAAAGAUUGCGGAGUCUGGCUUUACACCUGCGAAUUACAUUCGAUUGAAAGUUUCUAAAUCCAAUUAAACAAACACAUUUUGUGCAUAUCCUGCAAUCAUAGCAUUCAGCGAAACCACAUUUCUGUGAGGCAUUCUGUCAAACAGUUCACGUGCCUUGUCUACGCUUCCAGAUUUUGCAGAAAUGUCUACUAGAGCAUUUCCAAAUGCCGGGAGUAUGCGUGCAAAUAAAAACUGGGCGGGUCAGAAGCUUGUCUGUUGCAACUUGCAUAAGGAGAUCUUAAGGACGGGAAACAGUUGAAAAAAAAUAAAACUUGCGUGGGCAAACGCGUGGUAGAACACAGGUGGAUGGGAGAAAUGGAUGCGUGAACAGCGGAGGUUUUUUCUGCUUCCUGGGUUCUGCUCAGUGCUCUGCGGGGACAGCUUUGAAGAUGCAUGUGGGGAUGCUCUUUCGACAUCCUUAGAGCAAGGGAACUACUGCUCAUUUUUUUGAAGGAAAUGCGGUUGUUAAAGAAACUUCUCGCAGGAAAAGAGUGGCCUUCUUGAAAUUUGUCACAGUUUAUGGUUGGUUACAAAAGUCUACAUUUGACUUUUGUUUUCCUUGUUUACUAUCUUAAUAUCUUCAAUCAAGUUGUUCUCUCCUAUGAGAGUUAAUCAAUUUUAAUCACAUCCUUUGAUUAUCUUGGCCUUGGAUAAACUCAAAUAGGAACUGGUAAUGAAUGGGAUUUUUUUUGUUAUUGGUUAAGUGUUAAAGAAUAUUUAUAUGAAUCAAUGUAUCAGAAACAGAGCAUGUGACCCAAAUAUGACCUGCAAUAAAUAGGAAUAAAAAAAGCUCAUCCUUUAGUG